UAGAAUCAAGAAUCGGUCCAUUUGGUCCAAAUCUCAAUUCUGGUACUCAAAAUGGAAAAUUCGAGAAGAUCGAAGGUACGUAUUUAAAUUCUUUUACGCAAAUUCUCUCAUUAUUAGCAUGGUAUCAGUUCGAUUACAUAAUUUCAUUUUGAACUAAUACUUCAUUUACAAAAUUUCUAUGAAUUCUCAGUUUAUUUUAAUUUUCUCUGAAAUCGAACAAUACCUACUCACCGGCAUUGGGUUGGUGCGGUGUGGAUCCAAAGUAUGAAAUGUGAACCAUGAGAAGCAGGAAAUGUGUGCGAGGAUCUGACCCUUUUCAUUGUCACCUAACCACUCAACCGACACUUUUACGGCAAAUGCUGUAAUGUGUCAUUUUCUCCAAUUUAUCGCACUCUCUUUCUUACAAUAUGUUUAUUUAAUCAGUCA
This 426-nucleotide long non-coding RNA is filed under the name Olea europaea subsp. europaea. Lineage: Eukaryota; Viridiplantae; Streptophyta; Magnoliopsida; Lamiales; Oleaceae. The record is from RNAcentral.